CACCUGGGGAUAGAGACAUGCCUGAGAUGAGCCAGGAAAUGUAUCUACAGGCCAGGCAAGAACACCCAGUUGCAGUCAUACACGGAACAGUGCAAGCUGUGCAAAGAAUAUAGUGAUUGACAAGAAAUGCCUCAUGAAAUCCCAGUCCAGCUCUGGGAAAAGGUCAGAACAGAGUGGUUCAUUUCUAAUGAAAGAAACUUUAUGGCCACAGUAGAUUACUAACCCAGUUUCUGGAAGAUGCACAGGCAAGAACAGUGAUCAGAAAACUGAAGGCACAGGCUUUGAGUUACAACAUGCCUCACUCACUGGGACCAAGUGAGAGGGUCCUCAUACCCCUCAUUUAGGAAUUCGAAUAUUUUAGGGCAAUUAAAAACUCAAGCCCAAGAUUUAUGUCCCUGAAAAUACAGAGCAGAAUAAGCAGAUGGCAUUGGUAUUAAAGGCAGCUGAAAAAACUGUGAUAGUGUUAGACAGAUAAGAAGGGGAGCUGGACUGGUUAUUUUGAACCUCAUAAAUGCUAAAUACUCCUAUGGUUUAGACAGUGACAUGCACUUGGAUACAGGUCUUGGAGUCUAGGACAGCAUGUCUGCUGAAGUCUGGAGCAAAUAUUAUUGAUAUUUUUUUUCUUUACAGGUACUAGGAAACUAAGCAAGCACCGACAGCCCGAGCCCCAGAGGCUACUGUAGAUACCAUAAUAACCCUAAAGUUAUAAGGAGAGGUAACAGCACAAAAGAAGUCAUUGGGUGCAGGACAUGAGACAAGUACAACAAGCAGGAACAGUGAAACUUAAGGCACUGUGCAGCGACUGGAAUCAAAUGUAGCAGCAGGCAAUUAUAGUCUGUUAGACUAAUGUGGCCAAGACAAGAAGGAUGUGAAGUGUGUGAUCAACACAGAGGAUCAACACAACUGAUCCUCUCAAGGGCCUUCAAUAAUAAAGGAAAACGGGGAAGCUAAAUAGUAUGGGGAGGACUUGUUUGCUUUGUCACUGCUAUCCCGAGUUGUUUUUGCUAGUGCAGUGUAGCCUGCCUGGCAUCUGUUUGCCACCUUGGUGGAGUGUCAGUCUGCCUUAGGUCCUGCGUCAUACCAGCUAUUUCCAUGCAGAUGUCUUGGAUACCUUAGGGCCUCUCAAAUGGCACUGGGUAUUGAGCGUGGGCAGAGGAAUCCUGUCCUUUGCUGUGUGGAAAAACAUUGCUCUUGGAGGGCCACAACAGUAUGGUAAUGGCUGCAGCCAAGUGUGGCAGCAGUGACCAAGCUAGAGCAAUACUGAAAUAGGUAAGUCUGUGUAACAAUUAUCUUCAGCUCUGGCUUUUUAAGGCCAGCUGUGGGCCCAGCCCUGCAGCUUCCUGCUUUGGCCAAGAAUGAAUCACUUGUGGGGAGCUGUAAUUCCCAGAGCAGAUGGGAGCUGUCAGGUUCACAGUCAGAGAUGAUGGAAAGGGAUACAACGUGUAACAGCUCCCUCUGGGCAGGAGAGAUUGGGGGGAGACAGGUGGGUCUCUCCAGCCCAGGAGAGGGUAUCACAGAUAAAAAUGCUUUAGGAAGAUGCUUUAACAGGCAAUCAGGUGUCUAUGUAAAAUACCCAGAGGAGAAAGCAAUUAAAAGAACUGUAGUUGAUUCAAAAAAAAAAAAAAAAAAAAAAUAGACUUGAAGAAGACUGAGUCUGAGAAUGAACUUAAUCACCAAGGUGCCCUUGAAGUUUAUCAGACCACCUAGAGGUGCAAUAUCCUAGGCAAGCAAGAAGUUCUGAGAAAUACCCUUCAUCUAAUCUUUUUAUUAUUAUUAUUUUUCCCUACAUUAGAAAGAUUGAAGUGUUUUGGCUUGGUUGGAAAACUGAACUAGUUUGCCAGAGGGAAAGCGGAGGAAACUAGAACAUUUUCCCAAAGAGAAGAUUUCUUUUUAUUGCAUGUGGAUGCAGCAGCAGCCUCUGCUGUCCAAUUUGAAAAGCGAGUUGUACUUUCUGCAGGACUUGGAAUAUUGUG
Gallus gallus (chicken) is the source of this 1973-nucleotide long non-coding RNA. Lineage: Eukaryota; Metazoa; Chordata; Aves; Galliformes; Phasianidae. The record is from Ensembl.